GCUUUCAUGGUGUAAUGGUCAGCACGCUCGGCGCGUAACCGAGAGGUCCGUGGUUCAAUUCCCGGCGAAGGCA
RNAcentral lists this transfer RNA (73 nucleotides) under Stegodyphus mimosarum. It matches the Rfam family "tRNA". From Rfam's summary of the family: Transfer RNA (tRNA) molecules are approximately 80 nucleotides in length. Their secondary structure includes four short double-helical elements and three loops (D, anti-codon, and T loops). The record is from Rfam by way of RNAcentral. Lineage: Eukaryota; Metazoa; Arthropoda; Arachnida; Araneae; Eresidae.